AAACCAUGAUGAGGGCAGUCUCUCUCAUACUCCUUGAAUCGCUCUCAGGCUUCAUAUAAUGAUUCUGUUGGGCCUUGUUGGAAGAUUUGUAUCUUGUUUCUUAGCU
RNAcentral lists this small nucleolar RNA (106 nucleotides) under Eutrema salsugineum. Its description in RNAcentral is "Plant small nucleolar RNA R71". It matches the Rfam family "Plant small nucleolar RNA R71". From Rfam's summary of the family: R71 is a member of the C/D box family of snoRNAs containing the C (UGAUGA) and D (CUGA) box motifs. Multiple nearly identical copies of this snoRNA have been identified in Arabidopsis, and it is thought to function as a 2'-O-ribose methylation guide for 18S ribosomal RNA. Lineage: Eukaryota; Viridiplantae; Streptophyta; Magnoliopsida; Brassicales; Brassicaceae. The record is from Rfam by way of RNAcentral.